Long non-coding RNA from Octopus sinensis (East Asian common octopus), 288 nucleotides. RefSeq lists it as uncharacterized. Lineage: Eukaryota; Metazoa; Mollusca; Cephalopoda; Octopoda; Octopodidae. The record is from RefSeq and is a predicted model, not a curated record. The transcript has 3 exons.
UGAAAUUGAAAUGUUUGAAAGCAUGAAACAGUUUAAAAACUUUUUUUUUUUAAAUUUGUAUAUUCUCACUAUUCAGUAAAACUGACCAGAAUCUCUUAAUCAACAUCCCUGUUGUCUACUCUCUCUCUCUUUCUCUCUCCAUAUAUGUAUGUAUACACACACACACCAACAUCUACAUUCAAAAAAGCCUUAGCAUCGUACUAUUGUCACUGAAGCUGACCCUAUUACGAUAACCAUCUGUGCUAUUUUACUGUUAAGAAUUUAGUUGUUUGUGUGUGUGUGUACGAU